Molecule: long non-coding RNA, 288 nt
Filed under: Ananas comosus (pineapple)
Lineage: Eukaryota; Viridiplantae; Streptophyta; Magnoliopsida; Poales; Bromeliaceae
Description: long non-coding RNA (ACOM_LNC023978)
Source: RNAcentral
GUUAAAUCGGAUUGUAUUUGGAAGUUAAAUGUAAUAAGUAUUUGGGAUGUAAAAUGUAUGAAUGUGAAUGUAUGUAAUAACAUAGGAUGUGUUAUGUUGUUUGAUACCUUCCAUUAUGCAAUCUUUGAUUGAAAUGUGUUUCUGGUUGGAAUUUUGUACAUUAUAUUGAUUGCGACGCCUUGAAUGUACAGGGGAGACUCUGUCCGCGGUACAGAAAAAAUCCUGUCCGUUCGGCGGUCUGUUGCGGCGCCGCGACCCUGCCAAAUAGGCGGGCGGUCGCGGGGCGUG